RNAcentral lists this long non-coding RNA (2753 nucleotides) under Mus musculus (house mouse). RNAcentral describes it as "long non-coding RNA chr10:78599121-78601874". Lineage: Eukaryota; Metazoa; Chordata; Mammalia; Rodentia; Muridae. The record is from RNAcentral.
UUGUUUUACUAGAAAUAACCAGGACCUGCAAGACAUCUCUGUGCAAAAAAGAACGCAGCCUUCAGAUUGCAGGAUGUGUGUUUGCAAGUAAACAGGUUUUAAUGCUGUCCUUUGCUUAUAUAAACUCCUGACGGAUGUGACUUGGCAUUACAUUUGGGAAUCCGGAGUUUGGGGUGUAGCCCUAGUGCCAACACGUGAAUAACAGCCUCUUCUUUGUUGAAAUACAUUCAUGAUCAGAUUGGUGAAUCUCUGAAUGACCCAAGACCCUUUACAAGAUAAAUCCAGCCCUUGAGUUAGAACAGCUUAAUUAAAAAACAAACAACCCACAAACGUUUUUGGACAGGUGGUGGCGGCACAUGCCUUUAAUCCUAGCACUUGGGAGGCAGAGGAAGGUUGACCUACGACCUUGAGGCCAGCCUUGUCUACAGAGCAAGUUCUAGGACAUCCAAGGCUACACAGGAAAACUUGGUCUCCAAAACCAAAGCCAAAACCAAAACCAAAACUAAAAAACAAAUAAAAGUUUGUAACCAGAUGAUUACAUUGUUGUGACUACAAUUGAAUAAGUUGAAUAAGUCACAUUUUCCUGUUGCUGUGAUAAAGUACCUGGCAAGAAGCAACUUAAAAAAAGGAAGGAAGCCUUCUUUUGGAUCACAGUUCAAGGGUACGGCCCAUCAUGGUGAGAAAGUCAUGACCACAGGAGCUACUGGGAGGCAGCUGGUCACAGUGCAUCUGCAAUCAGGAAGCAAAACGUAAUGAACUGGUACUCAGCUUGCUUGCUCCUUUUGUUGGAGAUUGGUUGCAAAAUCUGCGUGUCCAGAUGCUGAAGGUCCUUGUACCAGUUGGUUUUUCAUCAAUUAAUAAAGAUGUCAACGGCCAAUGGCUGGGCAUGGGGUGGGACGCUUAAGAGUUACAUAGGCAAGAAUGUAGAGAGGAACCAGACAGAAUCACAAUGACUCAGGGAAGUAGCGGCAGGACUUAAAACCAACCAGCCAUGUGAGAUUUCAGGAACUGGCCACUCACCACUUUCCCAAUUGGGCUUGGGGUAGCAGGGGAAGGUUUAGGAGUGACCAGCCUUUGAGGUAGCCAAGGCAUUAAAAAAAAACAAAACAAAAACAAAAACACCCCACAAAAACCUAAUGUGUGUGUGUCUUUCAUUCGAAGAUCCAAAGAUAGUUCUGGGCAGGUACACACGUGUGAUCUACUGGUAGCCAAAGUGGUGUAGCCAAAAUGCACCACUACAUCUUUUUUGUUCAGUCCGGGACCCCAGUCCAUGGAAUGCAUUUACCCACACUUAGUGUGAAUCUCCCCACUUUGAUUAAUCUAAUCAAGAAAAUCAGUCGCUCACAGGCCUUGGCAAUAUCUCCUCUUUAUCUAGAUAGUCUCUCGUGGGCGUGCCCAGAGACUCUUUUUCCUAGGUGAUUCUAGAUCCUAUCAAAUUGGCAAUUAAUAUAAUCCAUCCCAAGUGAUACGAAAUUCAGGUUUCAGUGUCCAUAAUUCUCACUAACCAAUUCCCGGAUGUAUGGUUUAUUCCUGCCUUAAUGGUUCAGUUGCAGGGCAGGAUCAUUGUACCAGGAACCGUGUGGUCUGUAAGGAGACUAUAAUGGCCAUUUAGUUUUUGGCAGAGAAAUCUGCUGAGGUCUAAGCUAUGAUGUGGCUCACCAGUGGGUUUGUUCUGAAGCCUAAGACUGCCUGUGAGUGCUGAAAUCUUGUUACAAUCCUCUCUGCUCUGGAGCAAUCUCAGGGACAAGGGAUACUACAUUACAGUGCCCAGCAAACCCAGCGCCCAUGUCAUGUGCCACCCAAUUCUCUAUUACUUCUCUGCAUACCUUACACUCUUUAUCUACAAGGUAAUGUUACUUGUGUCCCCUCCCAAAGAUACAUUGCAGCCAGGCAAAUCAGGAUUGGCCAGUGUCACUUCAAAUAUGGUUUGUAAAUUACAUCACUGCUACCUGGUAGCCACUCUGUCCAACUGCAGCUUCAGAUGAACCUAGUCUGAUGAGAUCAGUGGUUCUCAGCCCAUGGGUCAACUAGUUUGAAGGUAGUGGGGUUGGACAACCCUUUCACAGGGGUCACCUAACUUCAUUAGAAAAUACAGAUAUUUACAGUACAAUUCAUAAUAGUAUCAAGAUUGCAGUUAUGAAGUAGUAACAAAAAUACUUUUUAGGUUGGGGGGGGGCAAAGUUACCACAACACGAGGAGCUGUAUUAAAGAGUCGAAACGUUAGGAAGGUUGAGAACCACUGUACUAGGUGGCUCUGUGGCAGAGGGUGCUUGCUGCCAACUCUGAGGAUCUGAACUUGAUACCUGAGAACCACACGGUGGAAGGAGAGAACAGCUUCCUACAAGUGGUCCUCUGACUUCCACAUCAGUUCCUGCUCCUGUAAACACAGAGUCAUGAGUGCAAGCACACAUACAUAAUAAAUAAAUGGAAUUUUAAGGUGUAAAAAAUGCCUUGAAACAAACAAACAAACAAACAAACAAACACUAUUCCUGAAUAGGACACAAUGGUGGCUUUGUAUCCCUAUUACCUAGGAGUCAGAGAUAAGGUUGAGCCAUGGAGUUCCAGGUUAUUUUGGGCAACAUAGUGAUAUCUUGUCUCAAAACAAAAAUAAAAUCAGAAAACAAAAUCAAAACCUAAGUGAGGCUUGGUAGUACAUUAGCAUUUGGGAGGGCAAGGUAGGAGGGCCUGGAGUUUCAGGUCAGCCUGUGCUAUAUAGCUGGGUCCUAAUUCAAAGAAAAAAAGAACCUCAAACC